UACAUUUGCACCCGUUCAAUGGAACAUACAUAAUAAUCAUUUACAAUAAUAUUAGCAUG
Molecule: non-coding RNA, 59 nt
Filed under: unclassified sequences
Description: S15-Flavobacteria ribosomal protein leader
Rfam family: S15-Flavobacteria ribosomal protein leader
Source: RNAcentral